This 550-nucleotide ribosomal RNA is filed under the name Arthrobacter oryzae. RNAcentral's name for it is "bacterial SSU rRNA". It matches the Rfam family "Bacterial small subunit ribosomal RNA", at positions 91 to 653 of the family's 1533-position model. Lineage: Bacteria; Bacillati; Actinomycetota; Actinomycetes; Micrococcales; Micrococcaceae. The record is from RNAcentral.
AUUAGUGGCGAACGGGUGAGUAACACGUGAGUAACCUGCCCUUAACUCUGGGAUAAGCCUGGGAAACUGGGUCUAAUACCGGAUAUGACUCCUCAUCGCAUGGGGGGGGGUGGAAAGCUUUAUUGUGGUUUUGGAUGGACUCGCGGCCUAUCAGCUUGUUGGUGAGGUAAUGGCUCACCAAGGCGACGACGGGUAGCCGGCCUGAGAGGGUGACCGGCCACACUGGGACUGAGACACGGCCCAGACUCCUACGGGAGGCAGCAGUGGGGAAUAUUGCACAAUGGGCGCAAGCCUGAUGCAGCGACGCCGCGUGAGGGAUGACGGCCUUCGGGUUGUAAACCUCUUUCAGUAGGGAAGAAGCGAAAGUGACGGUACCUGCAGAAGAAGCGCCGGCUAACUACGUGCCAGCAGCCGCGGUAAUACGUAGGGCGCAAGCGUUAUCCGGAAUUAUUGGGCGUAAAGAGCUCGUAGGCGGUUUGUCGCGUCUGCCGUGAAAGUCCGGGGCUCAACUCCGGAUCUGCGGUGGGUACGGGCAGACUAGAGUGAUGUA